Molecule: long non-coding RNA, 1802 nt
Organism: Macaca fascicularis (crab-eating macaque)
Lineage: Eukaryota; Metazoa; Chordata; Mammalia; Primates; Cercopithecidae
Source: Ensembl
UUUUUUCUUGAGGCUUCAGGUAUAUGAAAAUAAAAAGAUGACAAAUCAGGAUACAUAUAUUAAAUGUUUUCAUUUAACAAACUGACAAUUUUAAUACACAUACAAAGCAGUAUAAUUGCACUCUUCAUAAGGUAAUUAUCAUAUUUUAAAAGAAUUAUUUCACUGCACAAUAGACACCAUGAUGAAACAGUGCACACAUCUGAAAGUGUAGAAUGGAUGCCUUCUUUCUAACCUCUUUCUAAACUAUCUGUGUAAUUGGAUGGGAGAAUCCAGAAAUUUAAAUUCGACUACUUCUGUGCACAUGCUGACCAAGUACCUUUCUCUCCCUUGCUUUUAUCUUUGCCUUUCUUCCAUUGCAAAACCUCGGGGAUGGCAGAAUUGUAGGAGUCUCCAGAAGCACAAAAUCAGGACCACCCUCAGACCCUCUAUUUGGGUUUCAGUGUCAGCACAGCAUAGGGCUGGGCAGGAUAGGGAACAUUAGUUGGGCAACUGCAAACUAAAAAGGAGGGUUUGCUCAAGGAAGCAUUAACGGCUGUUUCAAGGGAACAAAAUCUAAGAGCAAACCAGGUCAGAAAGUAGAAGAGGUCCACAAUACUUUAUUUUCAAGGCCACACUCAAAGUUCAAGACAAAGCUUGAAUGAAGGGUCAAGGAGUGUGAGUAGCAGGAAGGCAAGUCAGAUGAGAUACGAGCGGCACUGUGAGAACUCCACAAAGGGCCUGGCCUUUCCACUCAUUGUUACUGGCCCCUUUAUUAGGCCAUUCUUACAUUGCUAUAAAGAAAUACCUGAGACUAGGUAAUUUAUAAAGAAAAGAGGUUUAACUGGCUCAUGGUUCUGCAGGCUGUACAGGAAGCAUAGCACUGGGCAUCUACUUGACUUCUGAUGAGGACUCAGGAAACUUACAAACAUGGCAGAAGGCAAAGGGGCAGCUGGCACAUCACAUGGCAAAAGCGUGAGAGUUCAGAGGAGGUGCCACACACUUUUAAACGACCAGAUCUCACAGCACCUCACUAUCAUGAAGACAGCCUUAAGCCAUGAGGAAUCUACCUCCAUGACCCAAACACUUCCUACCAGUCCCCAGCUUCAGCAUUGGAAAUCUCACAAAUAAAUGUGAGAUUUCUGUGGGGACAUGUAUCCAAACUAUAUCAGCCCCACUGGAAUAAGGAGUUCUCAUUACUUCCUAUCAUCCUGAACUUGGAUAGAGAAAAGGUUGGUUCAGAGGGAAGGCCAGAGUUGGUAGAAAGUAAACGAACAAAAUUAUUAUCUAAUUUUUCAUCUCUUCCCUCCCUCAAGACUAAUAAUAACAUUUAUUACUCAGGAGCUGAUCACAUAAAAUCCUCUCUCUUUGGCCACUCACUGGACAUUUGUUCUCCAUUGUCCCUCUUCCAGAGUAAAAUGGGAAGAAAGAGGGUGAAAUCUAAACCAGUUAGAAUCUGACUUGUUAGGAAGGCUAGGAAACUAUUAGCUAUAAUCAUUUUUUUAAAUCAUAUGGAUUUAAUUUCACCACUAUAAUUGAUCUUAUUAAUUCAAGUGUUUGAGAACUGACAGUUGCAUACGUUUUUCUGAACAAAGAACUACAGUAGUCAAUACUGGCCUCUUCUUACAUAAGCCUCAGUCUUGGACUGCAGACUUCCUACUAGAUUUCUAGCCCUGAAAUGUCAUGCAAAACCAGUAAGUAUGUGCAUUUCUCUCAUUUUUUCUAGGAUGGAUGCCUGCAGGUUACACUACAUCCUUAGAACAGGUUUGUGACCCCAAAACUAUAAAAAACAUCUUGCUUUAUAGCCUCAUCUAUACUCUCUGCCC